Molecule: long non-coding RNA, 1246 nt
Filed under: Salvator merianae (Argentine black and white tegu)
Lineage: Eukaryota; Metazoa; Chordata; Lepidosauria; Squamata; Teiidae
Description: lncRNA (ENSSMRG00000016091.1)
Source: RNAcentral
AAAAAACAUACCCUUAUAAAAAUGCGCAUCAGCAGCAAAAUGCAAAUUCUGCCUAAACUUUUAGCACUUCUCAUUUGAAGCACACCCUGGCAGAAGAAAGAAAUGCAAACACUUGCAUUUAUGAGACUGGAAACUCUUAGUGGAUUCAACACUGCACUUGUAACAAGGAGCAAUGCCAUCAAAAAUUAUACGGGGCUUAAGGCAAACAGCAGGAAAAGAAGAUUAUAUUUUGAACUAAAGAUUUGAAACAAAAAAUACUUCAAAAGAAAACAAAAAACAUACAAAGAUUGGUUGUGGACUUAAAGAAGUUGUAGGACAUAAUCAGACACUAAAUGAAAAAUGUGUGGCAAUGAAUCUAUUUUGAAAGAAAACAAUCUAUCUUGGCCGUGCUUAUUGUAAAUACUUAAGUACUGUAUUUAAGAUUAAUAUUGUAGUUUUGAUUGUAUAUUUAUUGUUAAAUGUAUAUUUUAAAAAUAGAACGCCCCAACUGGAGUGGAGUUGGCUGGCCUCCUGGGUUGGUUUGCUUCUUCCACAACCUCUCCACAAAGAUAUAAGAACUAUGGCUGAUGCUAGAGCAGGGAACAGGGACCACCAGAACUGACUGUUUUGAUGGCAAAAUGACAGCUGUUCUAUCUAGCUGUUCUGUCUGCUGCUAACUAUUUUUGCUGUGGUGAUUUGCUGUAUGUUGUGUUCUAUAUUGUUUUAUUCUGAUUGUAUGNAUUAUUGAUUGUAUGAUUCUUUUGUUUUGAUGAUGACUUAUNGAAACUUUUGUGCUGCUGUCAACCACCUGGAGCAAUAUUUUUUGGAAAGGCGAUAUACAAACAAAUGUAAAUGUAACGCUGGCGAUAAAGGACACUGGGCGAUAGUUAUUCAAUACUCCUGGAUCCAGAGAGGUCCUCUUAAGAAGGGAGNAUACCACAGCUUUCUUUAGAGCCACUGGUACCUCUCCCUCCUGCAAAGAGGCAUUUAUCACUCCCUGGACCUACCCAGCCAUACCCCGUCAGCUAGUUUUAUUAGCCAUGAAGGGCGAAGGUCAAGGAGGCAGAUAGUAGACUGAACCCCUGCAAGUGUUGGCACCUAGCAUACCUCCACUGUGUGGUUUGGUGUGCCAUCAGUUACAUAAUAGGUAAGACAUGGAGCCUUAUGCUUGGUAUUUUUUUUGUAACACUUCUACUGUUCAGCAUAUUGGAAACUUCUCAGACCUAGAAUAAUCUUUGCAACCUAGAAAGAUUGGCCAGUAUUACAA